Molecule: long non-coding RNA, 402 nt
Filed under: Chrysolophus pictus (golden pheasant)
Lineage: Eukaryota; Metazoa; Chordata; Aves; Galliformes; Phasianidae
Description: lncRNA (ENSCPIG00010001253.1)
Source: RNAcentral
AUGCCAAUGCACACAGGUAUAGAGAAGGGCAAGGAGAAAUGCCACCCCAAUGGGGGUUUUGCUUGUUCUAAUUGCUCUGCCCCCCUGGCUCCUGGCCCCAUCUCCCUGCCCCAGGAAGACACAGGGACCAUCCCUGCAGUACAGAGCCCACUCACACAACGUCUCAUCGUUAUCUUCAGGCUCAGCAGCAUUUCGCCCAGCUGCACACAGUGUAAGCCAGUUGCGUCCAUUCCACAAAGGAAACUGCCCUGCACACGCACGAUGCUCGCUGUGUUUACCUGUGUUUCCUUCGCCAUGGCAGAGAUUUUGACGGUGCAGUUUCGCUCUGACUCACCACUGCUUACUGCUGUGGAAACGCAUUGACUCUGCAGUACUACGAAGCUGUUGCAUGAAUGAAUAAAG